This 515-nucleotide long non-coding RNA is filed under the name Androctonus crassicauda. The record is from RNAcentral. Lineage: Eukaryota; Metazoa; Arthropoda; Arachnida; Scorpiones; Buthidae.
AACAAAUACAAAGCGAUCAUUAAAUUAUACGCUAACUAUCAUGCUAGUGCGUAGUUUCGUGGUUAUAUGCCGCUCAACUUGAGAUUAGUUGGACGAUCUACAACAAUUCUCUCUAAAAACCAAACUAACGGAAGAAUUUUUGAGGCGUGUAGCACAAACGCAGCACUAACGAUUGAAUAUAAAUAUUUCAAUAUUUUAAGAAUAGAUUCGCCCAACUUCUCGUACAUUAUGACGUCACAUGUGACGAUUUUUCUAGGAGAAAAUUCUAAAUAUACAAACUGUAAUAGCAAACAAUCUUCUUUUAAUGUUAACGUUUGCUUUAGCUUAUUGCGAUUACAUGAAAACUCGGUAAGGAGGCCUUGUAUCUAAAUGUAGUGCCUACCACCGGUCGCCGAAUUCUUGUGAUCGGUCGUUAGGUGAGGAUAAGGUUCAACAACCCUGGCCUGAAAUACUCCCGAAAAGACUUAAAGCAUGAAACCUGGGAAAGAAUAUUCUUCAGAAUGGAAGAAUAGAAC